GGGGUUGUGGCUCAGUGGUAGACUGCUUGUCUNGAGACAGGUGGUAGACAGCUUUGUCUAGCAUGUGAGAGGCACUGGGUUUGAUUCUCAGCACCCCA
This 98-nucleotide transfer RNA is filed under the name Marmota monax (woodchuck). RNAcentral's name for it is "tRNA.Ser". Lineage: Eukaryota; Metazoa; Chordata; Mammalia; Rodentia; Sciuridae. The record is from RNAcentral.